UGAGGAUCGAACCCAGGUCCCGCCCAUGCUAGGCAAGCUCUCUAUCGCUGAGCCACAAUCCCAGCCCCCAGUUUUUCUAUUAAAAAGUGACCAAUAGUGAUCUGAUAAAAGAGGUUAAAUUAUAGUUGGAAAUUCAAAAUUUAGAGAGGCUUUCCCCAAAUAAACUCAAAAUUUUCAUAAAGUUAAAUAUGUAAUUUCUGUUACUUUUGUGUUUAAUGUUUUUCAUUUGAGUAAUCUAGCUAGAACUUUUUUUGAUGUAAGGCAUGAAAGAGAAUUUAGUUUCAUAUUUUCCACAUAGAUAUUCUCCUAUACUAUUUAACAAACAUAAUUAUACUAAUCUGAAUGUCAACUGUAUGAGAAAUUAAACCCAAUACAUUACAUCUAUUUCUGGGAUAUCAGUUCUAUUCAUACAUCUUUCUCUUCAUGUGUUGAUACCAAACUGUUGUAAUCACUAAAAUGUUUAUAGUACUUUUCAGUAUCUGUAGGACAGGUCUGCUCCUACUACUCUUUUCUUGCUUUAUUCCCAAAAUAAUGGUGUUGGUAUUUUUAUUGAGAAAGUUCUAUUCAUUGGCUUAUUUAGAGAGGAUUGCCAUUAUUUAGCACCAUCUCCAUAUCUAAGAAUAUGAUAACAUCUUACUAUUUAUAUAAGCAUUUCUUAUUUUUUUAAAUGUUUCCAAGUUUUAUUCAUGUUCACCAUGCACAUUUCUUAGGAUCUUAUCGUAUUUCUUAUUUUUUUUAAUUUUUUUUUUAAAUUUUUUUAUUGUUGGUUGUUCAAAACAUUACAAAUUUCUUGAUAUAUCAUAUUUCACACUUUGAUUCAAGUGGGUUAUGAACUCCCAUUUUUACCCCAUAUACAGAUUGCAGAAUUACUAUUACUGUAAAUUGGACAUUUUCUUCUGUUAUAUUUUCUGGGAUGAUUAUUGCUUUUAUGGAGAAAUACUGAUA
Molecule: long non-coding RNA, 945 nt
Filed under: Marmota monax (woodchuck)
Lineage: Eukaryota; Metazoa; Chordata; Mammalia; Rodentia; Sciuridae
Source: RNAcentral